AACGAACGCUGGCGGCGUGCCUAACACAUGCAAGUCGAACGAGACCUUCGGGUCUAGUGGCGCACGGGUGCUUAACGCGUGGGAACCUGCCCUUAGGUUCGGAAUAACUCCCCGAAAGGGGUGCUCAUACCGGUUAAUGUCUUCGGACCAAAGAUUUAUCGCCUUUGGGUGGGCCCUCGUUGGAUUCGCUAGUUGGUAGGGUAAAAGCCUACCAAGGCGACGAUCCAUAGCUGGUCUGAGAGGAUGAUCAGCCACACUGGGACUGAGACACGGCCCAGACUCCGACGGGAGGCAGCAGUGGGGAAUAUUGGACAAUGGGCGAAAGCCUGAUCAAGCAAUGCCGCGUGAGUGAUGAAGGCCUUAGGGUUGUAAAGCUCUUUUACCCGGGAUGAGAAUGACAGUACCGGGAGAAUAAGCUCCGGCUAACUCCGUG
This 433-nucleotide ribosomal RNA is filed under the name uncultured bacterium. Its description in RNAcentral is "partial 16S ribosomal RNA". It matches the Rfam family "Bacterial small subunit ribosomal RNA", at positions 29 to 507 of the family's 1533-position model. The record is from RNAcentral.